GCAUAGGUAAUUGAGUGGUAGAAUUCUAGCCUUCUGGACAAAACACCUGGGUUCAAUUCCCAGCCAAUGUA
Molecule: transfer RNA, 71 nt
Filed under: Loxodonta africana (African savanna elephant)
Lineage: Eukaryota; Metazoa; Chordata; Mammalia; Proboscidea; Elephantidae
Rfam family: tRNA
About the family: Transfer RNA (tRNA) molecules are approximately 80 nucleotides in length. Their secondary structure includes four short double-helical elements and three loops (D, anti-codon, and T loops).
Source: Rfam by way of RNAcentral